This 1025-nucleotide long non-coding RNA is filed under the name Strigops habroptila (Kakapo). Its description in RNAcentral is "lncRNA (ENSSHBG00005004133.1)". The record is from RNAcentral. Lineage: Eukaryota; Metazoa; Chordata; Aves; Psittaciformes; Psittacidae.
UUUGCAGCUGAAAACAGUCACUUUUUAUUUCAAUAAAACUUUUUAUGGUGUGCUUAGUUAAGUUGAGCAUUUGCAAUUCUUUCAUGGUCCUCUGAGAGUCUGAUUGAUUGUGACACGGCUCCUGGAUCAAUAAUGAUGUAGCAUACCAAACAGUUGCCAGUGCAAGUUGUGUGAUUGCCUUAUAGAAAGCAGUCUGUCACUUUUCCUUGUCUUGCAGAUAUGCUAAUUCAGCUCUUUUUCUGGAUGCAAAGCAUUUCCUCCAAGAGUGAUAUCUGUGUAUAUGUAAAGUGCUUUCAUUGCUAUCUUUUUUCUGAAUACCUGAGUACUUAAUGAACAAAGUACAUUCAGUAGCACAUGGAAACCACAAAUAAUUCAUUCUGCUAUUGUCUCUAGCCGAUAUAAAAAGUUCUCCACAAUCAGGCUACAGCAUUGCAUCUUUUCUUGAGCUUCAGCUGAGGAAUAUUUAUUUUGGCUACUGCUAAUCAGUUUAUUAACCACUGCUUCAAGAAACAGUCUUACAGUGCAGUUCAUUGUGGUUUCUUGCUUUGUGUAAGAGGGUUUUUGUCUUGAUUCUUCAUUAUACACCAUGCUUUUAAAAGCUUCAGUAAAGAAUAGUAUUUUACAUUUGGAAAAAGGAAAGAAGGGGCUGAAGUUUUCCUUAUUACCUGUGGGAAUCCAUUAGUUCUUUAGAAGCCUUAUGUGACAUUGUAAGAUCAGCUAGUGAGCAGAGAAAAAGUCUGUAGUCAUCUUCUUAGCAGAGUCCCUUAUACAUCACGUUCUAUUUCCAGUUUUCUUAAGGCUGUAGCUUUCAUAUCCAUCUGAACAGUCUCAGAAUCAAACCAAGAAGGAGCAAAACUACAUAAAUAUUACUGAGGCUUGAUCUGUAUUGUAUAGGGCAGAAUCUACCUCCUGGCUAAUCCUAGAGAGAACAUGAUGCUUUAUUAAAGCUUAACAUCACAGGCAAGUUAAAUGUUUACUGUGGACCAGCUUUUCGACAGGACCUUGCUGUAUACGACAGAAGGUAA